This 253-nucleotide ribosomal RNA is filed under the name uncultured bacterium. RNAcentral describes it as "partial 16S ribosomal RNA". It matches the Rfam family "Bacterial small subunit ribosomal RNA", at positions 524 to 776 of the family's 1533-position model. The record is from RNAcentral.
UACGAAAGGGGCUAGCGUUGUUCGGAAUUACUGGGCGUAAAGCGCGCGCAGGCGGCUCUGUAAGCUGGGGGUGAAAUCCCGGAGCUCAACUCCGGAACUGCCUUCAAGACUGCAGGGCUGGAGGAUGGGAGAGGUGAGUGGAAUUCCGAGUGUAGAGGUGAAAUUCGUAGAUAUUCGGAAGAACACCGGUGGCGAAGGCGGCUCACUGGCGCGUUUCUGACGCUGAGGUGCGAAAGCGUGGGGAGCAAACAGG